Molecule: ribosomal RNA, 345 nt
Filed under: uncultured bacterium
Lineage: Bacteria
Description: partial 16S ribosomal RNA
Rfam family: Bacterial small subunit ribosomal RNA
Source: RNAcentral
CCUACGGGCGGCAGCAGUGAGGAAUAUUGGUCAAUGGGCGCGAGUCUGAACCAGCCAAGUCGCGUGAGGGAAGACGGUCCGAUGGAUUGUAAACCUCUUUUGUCGGGGAGCAAAAGACGCCACGCGUGGCGUUCCGAGAGUACCCGAAGAAAAAGCAUCGGCUAACUCCGUGCCAGCAGCCUCGGUAAUACGGAGGAUGCGAGCGUUAUCCGGAUUUAUUGGGUUUAAAGGGUGCGCAGGCGGCAGAUCAAGUCCGCGGGAAAAUUGAGAGGCUCAACCUCUUCGAGCCGUUGAAACUGGUUUUCUUGAGUGAGUGAGCUGUAUGCGGAAUGCGUGGUGUAGCGG